This 461-nucleotide ribosomal RNA is filed under the name uncultured bacterium. RNAcentral's name for it is "partial 16S ribosomal RNA". It matches the Rfam family "Bacterial small subunit ribosomal RNA", at positions 338 to 795 of the family's 1533-position model. The record is from RNAcentral.
CCUACGGUGUGGCAGCAGUGAGGAAUAUUGGUCAAUGGGCGCGAGCCUGAACCAGCCAAGUAGCGUGAAGGAUGACUGCCCUACGGGUUGUAAACUUCUUUUCUAAAGGAAUAAAGUGAGGCCCGUGUGCCUUUUUGUAUGUACUUUAUGAAUAAGGAUCGGCUAACUCCGUGCCAGCAGCCGCGGUAAUACGGUGGAUUCGAGCGUUAUCCGGAUUUAUUGGGUGUAAAGGGAGCGUAGAUGGGUUGUUAAGUCAGUUGUGAAAGUUUGCGGCUCAACCGUAGAAUUGAAAUGGAUACUGGCAGCCUUGAGUGCAGGUGAGGUAGGCGGAAUUCGUGGUGUAGCGGUGAAAUGCUUAGAUAUCACGAAGAACUCCGAUUGCGAAGGCAGCUUACUAGACUGCCACUGACAUUGAGGCUCGAAAGUGUGGGUAUCAAACAGGAUUAGAUACCCGAGUAGUC